Lolium rigidum is the source of this 910-nucleotide long non-coding RNA. RefSeq lists it as uncharacterized. The record is from RefSeq and is a predicted model, not a curated record. The transcript has 7 exons. Lineage: Eukaryota; Viridiplantae; Streptophyta; Magnoliopsida; Poales; Poaceae.
AUUCCUACUGGAGAUGCUUCACCGACUUAGAAUCUUGCUAUUAUUUCUUGUAUGGGUUCUUACGGUCGAGUGCCGAGCAACACACCCGAGCUGAAGAAAAACCUUGAGAUUUUGCAGUGUGGAGGAUGACCGACGAGCGCGACGGAGGCGGACGAGACAAUGGCGGUGGCGGGUGAGAGGAGGCACCUGUCGAAGGGUGGCGACAGCCAGUCUUUGCACAAGAUAGAGUUUGGAUGUCCAGGAGAUUCACCGAGAGUGACAACAACCACCAUUGGCCUUCGUGGACUCCGUCGCUGCCCCAGGCUAUGGAAUCCUCAAAUAAAUAACCGCAGUAUAUGGUUCUCAUCCUCCCACAACUCAGGUUACAGUUUCUGUAUUGUAGUUACCUUCUUGGGCAGCUCUACCUCUGUCGUGAACUGUGAUGGUUUUCCCUUGCUCCAUUUGAGGUUACCAUCGUGAUUGAUCUCCUCGGUACUUCUUGACAAGCCUUGCCGCUACCAUUGAGAUAGACCUCCUCGCCCCAUCCAACUUCUGUGUCAUCGGCUAUUGUCAGCCCUUGGUCUUAGCCGCCACCUCCUUGGUGGUAAGGCAGACUUAAAAACUCUAUGUACAUGAGCAUGCUCAGGUUGCAGCACCUUGAUGCAGGCUAGGUGCAUAUGUAAUGGAUAUUCUGGCUCGGAUCAAUUAUUCAUGCCACAGUGUGGUGAGCUUAUCUCCAUCCUCUAGCGUAAGCACGGUCUCUCUCUCUCUGUUGCCAUAUGCUAUGGUUUUUAGUUUCCAUGGACUGAUUACUGAAUCUGGCUCAUUCUUGUGAAUAGGUGAAGUAGAAAAUUAGCGUGAACUGGUGGAUGGCUUUAGUUUGUCAGUGUUUUCAUUCUGAUGUAAUUUAUUUAUCGAUAGCUUCUUGGCC